RNAcentral lists this long non-coding RNA (224 nucleotides) under Homo sapiens (human). RNAcentral's name for it is "HSALNT0032971". The record is from RNAcentral. Lineage: Eukaryota; Metazoa; Chordata; Mammalia; Primates; Hominidae.
CCUGUGUUGGUCACAUCCUCAAAUGCCUUUGGGGCUGGAUGAACAGUCGGCUUGUGGGUCAUUUCCCCAGACAAGACUCUGCUGCCUUGGACUUCUCUGGAACCUGUGUGGCUCCUCAAAUGAUGGCCAAAAUUCCAAAAACAGAGAGGACAUUUACACCUGUGGAGCAAUACUAUUCUGUUUUCAUGGUGAUUUCAACUAAUAUGUGGAAGGGAAGGAGGGGA